CCUUGCAGUGUACUUAUUACACUGUAUUGGAAUCGCUUCUUUUCUCUUUCUCUGUGAAUUUCUUGGGAGCACAGACUACGUUCUGCUUAACUUUGUAUCCCCAGCUUUCAGCACAGUGCCUGGCUGGAAAUUGACCAUUGCUUCCAGACAUGUGCGGGAGUCCAGAACAUGCCACUCCAAAAGAAGGAGGAUUGUUGAGCUGAAGACAAUUAAGAAGAAACAGAUGCAGGAAAGCUCUCUGCCCUCCAUUUGCUUAAAUGCAGGACAGAGAUUUACAAGAUAAAAGACAUCCUGCCCCUGUCUUUUACCAGGGAGAACAAAGGUUAACCACUGAAGACAGUUUUAGACCAUUAUCUGCCAGGAGUUGGAGCAAGAGGAAUCUACCUGAACAUGCUUUACCAACUCGCUUUUAUCUGCCGGUUACUUGCUUCCCCGCAGAGAAGCCCCCUCUAGAGACCCAAAGUCCUUUUCCUUUGUCCUGUCACUUCUCUAAAAAUCACUAUUCUUUGUUGAAGAUGCUAUACAAACUGGAAUUCAAAGCUAUUUCUUUGAGAACUACUCCUUCCCUGGGUGUCUGCCAUGUAGAUGUGAAAUAUACAUGUAAAUAAACUUGUUUUUCUCGUGUGU
Long non-coding RNA from Pan troglodytes (chimpanzee), 627 nucleotides. RefSeq lists it as uncharacterized. The record is from RefSeq and is a predicted model, not a curated record. The transcript has 2 exons. Lineage: Eukaryota; Metazoa; Chordata; Mammalia; Primates; Hominidae.